This 253-nucleotide ribosomal RNA is filed under the name uncultured bacterium. Its description in RNAcentral is "partial 16S ribosomal RNA". It matches the Rfam family "Bacterial small subunit ribosomal RNA", at positions 524 to 776 of the family's 1533-position model. The record is from RNAcentral.
UACGUAGGGUGCAAGCGUUGUCCGGAAUUAUUGGGCGUAAAGAGCUCGUAGGCGGUCUGUCGCGUCGGCUGCGAAAACCCGAGGCUCAACCUCGGGCCUGCAGUCGAUACGGGCAAACUAGAGUACUGCAGGGGAGACUGGAAUUCCUGGUGUAGCGGUGAAAUGCGCAGAUAUCAGGAGGAACACCGGUGGCGAAGGCGGGUCUCUGGGCAGUAACUGACGCUGAGGAGCGAAAGCGUGGGGAGCGAACAGG